CCUACGGGUGGCAGCAGUGGGGAAUAUUGGGCAAUGGAGGCAACUCUAACCCAGUAACGCCGCGUGAAUGAUGAAGGUCUUCGGAUUGUAAAGUUCUGUGAUGGGGGAUGAACACAAUGACGGUCCCCCAAUAGCAAGCCACGGCUAACUACGUGCCAGCAGCCGCGGUAAUACGUAGGUGGCAAGCGUUAUCCGGAAUGACUGGGCGUCAAGGGAGCGUAGGCCGGUCUUUAAGCCUGCCGGGAAAUUUUGUGGCUCAACCAUGAGAGUGCGGCGCGAACUGGAGACCUUGAAUGCGCGGAAGGCAGGCGGAAUUCGUGGUGUAGCGGUGAAAUGCUUAGAUAUCACGAAGAACCCCGAUUGCGAAGGCAGCCUGCCGCAGCGUAACUGACGCUGAAGCUCGAAAGCGCGGGUAUCGAACAGGAUUAGAUACCCUUGUAGUC
Molecule: ribosomal RNA, 443 nt
Filed under: uncultured bacterium
Lineage: Bacteria
Description: partial 16S ribosomal RNA
Rfam family: Bacterial small subunit ribosomal RNA
Source: RNAcentral